GACGAACGCUGGCGGCGUGCCUAACACAUGCAAGUCGAACGGAACUGUUUUGAAAGAUUUCUUCGGAAUGAAUUUGAUUUCGUUUAGUGGCGGACGGGUGAGUAACGCGUGAGUAACCUGCCUUCAAGAGGGGAAUAACAUUCUGAAAAGAAUGCUAAUACCGCAUGACAUAUCGGAACCACAUGGUUUUGAUAUCAAAGAUUUUAUCGCUUGAAGAUGGACUCGCGUCCGAUUAGUUAGUUGGUGAGGUAACGGCUCACCAAGACCGCGAUCGGUAGCCGGACUGAGAGGUUGAGCGGCCACAUUGGGACUGAGACACGGCCCAGACUCCUACGGGAGGCAGCAGUGGGGGAUAUUGCGCAAUGGGGGCAACCCUGACGCAGCAACGCCGCGUGAAGGAUGAAGGUUUUCGGAUUGUAAACUUCUUUUAUUAAGGACGAAAAAUGACGGUACUUAAUGAAUAAGCUCCGGCUAACUACGUG
RNAcentral lists this ribosomal RNA (482 nucleotides) under uncultured bacterium. Its description in RNAcentral is "partial 16S ribosomal RNA". It matches the Rfam family "Bacterial small subunit ribosomal RNA", at positions 28 to 507 of the family's 1533-position model. The record is from RNAcentral.